AAAUAUGUUAAAGGAGCAUUUGUUGCGGCGCAUGGGAAAGUGCAAUGAAGAGAGAUCGAGCGAGAGAGAGAAAGAGAGAGAGAAAGCGAGAGAGAGAGAGAAAGUGAAUGCCGAAGAUCGCGCGCGUUUCUGCGCUACGAAACGGGAAUAUAAACGUCGCGAGUGUGUACGCGAAUAUCGGCGAAAAUGGUUUUCCCUCCUCUAUCCCCUUUACUUCUCUCCCUUUCGCAACGCGUUUUUUCUAUGUUUUUCCUAUUUCUUUUUUUCCCCACCCUCUCUCAUCCGACUGAGUCUUAUACGGUGUCUGUAUAGCGAGCAACUUGACAGUCGCUGUGAAGAAAAAAACGCGUCGCUGAGUGUAGCAGCAAAUUGAACGUGCCAUAACAACACCAUGCCAAUAUUAUUGAUAAUACAUAUUGUUUUUAUACUUUACGAUCCGUUCAACAACGUCGUUCUGUCAGUCAGUCAGUCAGUCAGUCAGCCAGUGAAGCACGGGGCCUAUCGACGCGAAUUUGCCCUCAACUCUCUUAUACAUCUUCUUUUCUCUUCAACCACCGUUCUCCUUCACCCCUUCUUUCCCGCCCUUCUUCGUUUGUCGAUCGAACUCGACGAGCAGACUGAACAAAGAUACCAACAAAGAAGCAUAUGAAAGCGUCCCUCACCUAUUUUGAUGAAUCUUGGUUAUGUUAUAGACAGCUAUGCUGUUUCGCACACGUAUUCGAAGCCCAUCUGAAUCUGCAGGGAUACUUCCACAUGUUUCCUUCUAAGGAGCUACUUCUUGGUAAUCUUAAUGUAAGCCUCAUUUCUAUCUCGCUCGUCGAACGUUCUGUAUGUUACCGAAACGAAUCGAGCCGUGGGCAAAGCAAGAGAACGCGAUUCACUCGUCAUUCAGAGCACUUGGGCAAACUUAUCGCGUACGUAUAAGAAUACGUGAGAAAGGAAGAGAAAUGCUGACUGCGGAAUGCGUUCGAUCGAGGAAGCGAAGUACCUCUACCGAGUAAGUACGGGGCAAGGACGACCAGCGACAUCUCAUAAGACGAGCACGAGGGAAAAAGGAGACGGCAGACCAGCGGCGUCACCAUCACCACCAGGUCGUACUGACAGACGUAGCCACUAGACGAGAAUACAAGACUCGCGAAGUCGCGCGAUGUAUUAUUGUAUGCGUGCGUGUAUGCAACGAUGACUGCACUGUACGAGGAGGGUGACGCGAGCGGAGGUGAUAGUCCUAUCAGCGGAUAAUCGGACAUGUCAAUUGACGCGCCCUUGAACGCCAAGUAUGGCGAAGAUUCUCCUCGAAGAGGAGGACGGUAUAUUCUUGAAGCUCGCUCGCGUCACGCUACCUCCCUCUUCACUUUGCUAGGAACGAGACUACGUCGCGAAGGAUUCGGCGGCGGCGGCGGCGGCGGCGACGGAGUGCCUGCGGUGACACCGGAAGUUGCGUUCGAUAUCUCGCGGGGGAACGUUGUUGAUGCAAGGAGAUGCGUGCUUCCGGGAGAAUGCGAUCCUCGGCGGGCAAACUCGCUCGAUAUGGCCUACAGUCCGCACAAGAGGAGGGUAUCGAGAGCAGUAUGCGCGUCGUUAAAUCCUACGGGUCGCGGGUGAUACCCCCCUUUUCCUCCCUUCAUUAAGGCAGACGAGGUGGAAAGGUCCUCGAGCGGACAAGUCGGAUUCGGAGCUCGUGUCUCGCUUCAAGGAGUGGUUGUACCAUAUUGUAAAGUAUCAAUCGCGACAGUUCUCAGCUGCGUUGUACAGUGUUUUCUAAGUAUCUAGUUGAUAGAGUGUGUAAUUGAGGAGGAACAUUGUAUUUACAUUAAUAAGUGAUCUGUAUCAAAUUCAUUCUCGUAUAGCCGUACUCUUACUCAUGUAGAUGCUAAAAGUGAUUUGUGUCAUAAAGAAAAACCUAUAAAUAAAAUUAGCACUUUGAGAACGUU
Odontomachus brunneus is the source of this 1931-nucleotide long non-coding RNA. RefSeq lists it as uncharacterized. The transcript has 2 exons. The record is from RefSeq and is a predicted model, not a curated record. NCBI's taxonomy places the organism in Eukaryota, Metazoa, Arthropoda, Insecta, Hymenoptera, Formicidae.